RNAcentral lists this ribosomal RNA (251 nucleotides) under uncultured prokaryote. RNAcentral's name for it is "partial 16S rRNA". It matches the Rfam family "Bacterial small subunit ribosomal RNA", at positions 525 to 775 of the family's 1533-position model. The record is from RNAcentral.
ACGUAGGGGGCGAGCGUUAUUCGGAAUUACUGGGUGUAAAGGGUAUGUAGGCGGCCCUUCAAGUCGCGUGUCAAAGUCCAGUGCUCAACGCUGGGUGUGCGCGCGAUACUGACGGGCUUGAGGGCUGGAGAGGUGAGCGGAAUUCCCGGUGUAGUGGUAAAAUACGUAGAGAUCGGGAGGAACACCAGCGGCGCAGGCGGCUCACUAGACAGUUUCUGACGCUAAGAUACGAAAGCGUGGGGAGCAAACAG